UCCUUAGUGGCCAACCCCGUGCAACGAUAGUCACCAUGAUGUCACCUGCUCGUUUUUAAUUUAAAGUGAAGUUAAGCCGGUCAGUCAGUAAAGCUGGCUUGGGAUCUUGUGAGUGCAUGAGGGUGUAGGAACUUACUGUAUCCGUGUGUCAGUGAAUGGGAGACAGAGAAGAGAGAGGGAUAGAGGUCCAAAGAGAGAGAGAGAGAAGUAAAAUAACAGAAGAAAGACAGAAACAAAAUCCAGAAGAGCAUCAGACUUGGGUUCAGUUUUCGGGGGAUGUUCCUGAUUGAUUAGAUUUGAAGGUUUGGACUAUCUUCUGAACUCAGUACAACCAUUUCCAGGACUCUCCGUUGGAAAUGGUAACCCGGUUACCCUCUCCCCACAGUGUGAAUGUGAUGACUGCUCCAGUGGAUUCAGCAGAUCCAGUGCAGAGGAGAGGGAGCAGAGUCUACCAGAUCUUCCCCUGCACCCUGACUCCCAUGGCCACAGAGUCAGAGUCGUUUGCAGAGGACCCUAUUCACCGCAGGGGGCGGCUGCCUUCCAUCGUGGUGCAGACUGACGAGGCAAGCGAGAUGGGGGAGCGGCGCUGCUCCCAGGGAGUGGAGGAGAGCGACCUCUUCAAUGAGCAGAGCCUCCCCCAGACAGAAAGCUGCAUCAGUGGGGACAACCAGGAUGAUAUGGUGGUGCUACAGGGAAGACGAAAGAGUUCUAUUACGGCUCAAUCCCUCAACGUCGCCCUUUUGACUCCUCCCCAUUCGCCCCUCCGUGAGACUGCCCCGCCCAAGCCUGAGGAGAUGAGCCAAUAGGAGUGGAGCACAGUGACGAAACUACAGAACUCUUUCUGACAUCACCAUCGGAACUCUCUCUGACAUCAUCCGGACAUACAGCCUGUGGAUUUUUACCUCUCCGAUAUCUUAUGUGACAUAAGAUGGCAUAUUUCAAGAUAGACGGAAAGGUUUUUUCUCAUUUAAUGGAUUUUUAUUAUUGUUUACUGUUAAAAUAAAGAUUUAAAAUGCCAUAUGAUAUUAAUUGAAACGUUAGGGCCUCCCCUCUUGGGAAACUAGUAAAAAUGUGUACAUAAAACACAAAUACAAAAAGAUAUUAGCUACCUGUAGUUUUCAGACUGUGUUCAAGAGACAAAUCUGUUGCUAUGUGACAACAUGGAAACAAGCAACUGGCUAGGGCUGCCUCCCUAAUGGCAUCGUAUUCCCUAUAUAGUGCACUAUUGACCAGAGCCCUAUGCCCCGUGGUCAAAAGGAAUGCACUAUAUAGGGAAUAGGGUGCAAUUUGAGAUGCAACCUAGGUCUGACAGAUGCUACAGUGCAGUGGGCUACAGUGCAGUGGUUUCGCCUGCGCCAAGUAAUAACGUUCGAUAAAAGACUAUGGUGUCCUCUAUCGCCGUCAUGGAGGUCACAACAUUAUUCGCUACCUGAAACAAAUAAGCCCAUUACACACUGAAGUUGUACAGUACCAGUCAAUAGUUUGGACACACCUACUCAUUCAAGGGUUUUUCAUUUCUUUUUUUACUAUUUUCUAUAUUGUAGAAUAAUAAUGAAGACAUCAAAACUGUGAAAUCACACAUGGAAUCAUGUAGUAACCAAAAAAGUGUUAAACACUGACAGCUUUACACACUCUUGGCAUUCUCUCAACCAGCUUCACCUGGAAUCCUCAAAGGAGUUCCCACAUUAGGCUGAUCACUUGUUGGAUGCUUUUCCAUCACUCUGCGGUCCAACUCAUCCCAAGCCAUCUCAACUGGGUUGAGGUCAAGUGAUUGUGGAGGCCAGGUCAUCUGACGCAGCACUCCAUCACUCUCCUUCUUGGUCAAAUAGCCCUUGAAAAACAAAUGAUAGUGCCACUAAGCACAAACCAGAUGGGAUGGUGUAUCACUGCAGAAUGCUGUGGUAGCCAUGCUGGUUAAGUUUGCCUUGAAUUCUAAGUAAUGGAGUAGGAGCAACCAGCAAAGCACACCCACACAUCACACCUCCUACUCCAUGCUUCACGGUAGGAACCACACAUCAGGAGAUCAUGAUAAAUUCUUCCAUGAAGGCCUGAUUCACACAGUCUCCUCUGAACAGUUGAUGUUGAGAUGUGUCUGUUACUUGAACUCUGAAGCAUUUAUUUGGGCUUCAAUUUCUGAGGUUGGUAACUCUAAUGAACUUGUCCUCUGCGUCAGAGGUAACUCUAGGUCUUCCUUUCCUGUGGUGGUCCUCAUGAGAGCCAGUUUCAUCAUAGCGCUUGAUGGUUUUUGCGACUGCUCUUGAAGAAACUUUCAAAGUUCUUGAAAUUUUGACUGACCUUCAUGUCUUAAAGUAAUGCUGGACUGGCAUUUCUCUUUGCUUAUUUGAGCUGUUCUUGCCAUAAUAUGGACUUGGUCUUUCACCAACUAGAGUUAUCUGUUGUAUACCCCCCUGCCUUGUAAGAACACAACUGAUUGGCUGUUUGAGCAUUAAGAAGGAAAGAAAUUCCACAAAUUAACUUUUAACAAGGCACAUCUGUUAAUUGAAAUGCAUUCCAGGUGACUACCUCAUGAAUCUGGUUGAGAGAAUGCCAAGAUUGUGCAAGCUGAUGUCAAGGCAAAGGGUGGCUACUUUGAAGAAUCUCAAAUAUAAAAUAUAUUUAGAUGUGUUUAACACUUUUUUGGUUACUACAUGAUUCCAUAUGUGUUAUUUCAUAGUUUUGAUGUCUUCACUAUUAUUCUGCAAUGUAGAACAUUGUAAAAUGAAGAAACACUUUUGACUGGUACUGUACAACUGAUGUACAGCACAUUUGGCACAAUGGUUGUAAUAGACUCUUUAUUUUUGUGAUCAAACUGAGAAUUUGUGUGCACAUAUUUUUUUACACAACCAUUGUGUGGUGUCUCCACAACAGUUGUGUAACACUUUUGUCAAAUUGGUUGUACAUCAGUUCUACAAGCUGCUUGUGUCAUGACCCCUGCAUAGUUACUCCUGCAUCUCCCUGUUGAUAAUCUUGUAGAGACACGUUUGGAUUUUAUUGAGACGCAAGCAGCUGCACAGUAGAAUUAAAAGGUAGAAAUCACUUGUUUUGAAAAGAGGCUGAGAAAUAAUUGAAUGACGCUACAUAGUAUUGUGUAGGACUACUAUACUAUUUUGAUAUCUUUUUUUAUUACCAUACUACAAGUACGUUUUUGUGAGCACGUGCCACUGAUUGGGACAUUCAAAUGAGGAUGUUGCACUUCUCUCUAGCACAAAAAAGGAAAAUAAAUGAAUACAUGAACAUAGCUCAUCAUGAAUAUUCACCAGAUCAUUUUUAUUCAUCACGAAUGCAUGCAACUUCUAAUUGUGGCAACACAGAUGUGUUUGUACAUUAUCUCCUUGGGUUGAAAUUCCUUUAAGGAUUAUUGAAUAUUUUGCACGCCAGGCACCAUCAAAUAGUAUACGUUGGAGCAAACCCAAAUGGCCCAUAUUGAGUAAAACUCUGCAUUUAUGUGUAAUAUUUCAUCAAAGAUAUUAGUAAACACCUCCUUAUCAAAUACUGGUCUGGCAUAGUCUUUCCCUAUGUGAAACAAGAGCACUGAAUCUCAAGAAACCCAGCAUUUCUGUGAAUCCAUCCAAUUACAGUGCAUUGGGAAAGUAUUCAGACACCAUGAAUUUUACCACAUUUUGUUACGUUACAGCCUUAUUCUACAAAUUGAUUAACAUUUUAGUUUUAGUUGUUUUCAUCAAUCUACACACAAUACCU
Long non-coding RNA from Oncorhynchus tshawytscha (Chinook salmon), 3699 nucleotides. Lineage: Eukaryota; Metazoa; Chordata; Actinopteri; Salmoniformes; Salmonidae. The record is from Ensembl.